UGACUAUUUACAAAUGUCUGCAGAUGUCUAUGGGGACAGUAUGUUUUUUUGUUUACGUAGGGAUCAGUUAUUUGCUAGGCAUUUUUGGAAUAGAGG
This 96-nucleotide microRNA precursor is filed under the name human papillomavirus 68. RNAcentral's name for it is "Human papillomavirus type 68 HPV68-miR-H1". The record is from RNAcentral. Lineage: Floreoviria; Shotokuvirae; Cossaviricota; Papovaviricetes; Zurhausenvirales; Papillomaviridae.